Non-coding RNA from Sus scrofa (pig), 7877 nucleotides. The record is from RefSeq and is a predicted model, not a curated record. Lineage: Eukaryota; Metazoa; Chordata; Mammalia; Artiodactyla; Suidae.
AAUACUCCACAUUGUUCUCAGAAUAUAUGCAUGCAAAACUGCCUCUUGCUGCACAGCUGCAAUGUUCACUGAGACAUUUGGAUAGGGGAAAAACAUAUUCUUUGCGGAAAGAAAACGAAAAGAAUUAGGUAAUCUCACUGAAUUUAUCUGCAAGCAAAGGAUAUGUUGGGGUCUGUCCGUCCCUAAUUACCAAUCUCUUGUUUGAAUGGGUGACUAUUGAUUUUGUGUAAUGUAUGCAAUGUGGAAUUUUAUGACAGUGAAGUAACUUCAACGUAGAAAACAUAGUAAAAUAAGCUUCUAAUAUAAGAAAGAUUCUACAGUUUUAAAACAAAUAAUAUUCGACCUCUGUGUUCUGUUGUUCACCAACACCUAUCUCUUAUGAUACAAACAAACAAAUUUACCUUAUUUGAAGAGAGGCAUAAUUGCUCUAUUGCCAAGGAUGCAAGAGUUGGAGAUUUAAAACGUGGUAUUGACAGAGUUGCUGCAUGGCUUUGGGCAAGCAAUUAACCUUUGGCGUCUCAGUUACUUCAUCUGUAAAAUAGGGAUAAGGGUUUUGCACAGGUGUAAUGCCUGGGCUAAUUAGUAUAAUUAUUAUUGAUGGGAAAAUAAUGUUGGUCACUGAUUUUGUAUCUCAUAUGAACACCCGGGAAUCAUUUUUAUUUCCUCUACAUUGAAUCAUUUUUUAAGGAGUCUAAAAAACAAAAGCUAAAUGAUGACAAAAGCCACAAUACAGUUAAAAGAGACCAUGUCCAUGUAGGUACAUAAACUUCAUAGAUUAUUUUUUGACUUUGUAUUUAUCACCUAGAUGUUUUCUAAACUUAGACUAAACAAGUCGACUAUGAAAAUACAAGGAAACUUUUCAAGGCCCACGUUCAUCUGGUAAAAUACACUGCAGUAAAAGGCUCUCCAGUUCUUUGGUAGGUGACAUUAUGACAGUAUUAGGGUAGUUUAGGGUUGAGCCAUAGAAUUUAGGGUCAUCAAAGUCAAGUAAAAGUGUACACCAAAGACACUGUUCACAUAACAUCGAAUACCCUCCACUUCCAUGUGCAUAUCUGCCCUGUAAGCAGGGGACUGGGACAGACAAUGGUGGUACAGGAGAUGCAGCUGUGCCAGAGUGGGAGGAUGGGAGCUGGGCACAGCAGGGCACCCUUAUACUAGACCACAGGUAAUGACUCUUUGAGUCAGUGAGAGGGGCAGAAGUGAGUGAGACAAAAAUGGAGGUGCAGUCGGGGCUCAUCUCGAACUCCUAAGUGCUUUUUAUUUUUCUGUUUCCUAAGCCAGGGUGAAAUAGAUCUGCUAAAAGAAGCUGGCGAAAAAGGCAAUGAGCCACAGAGAGAAGCGUAAGAGAUGGAAGGGCUCCAAUAUCAGUGCUCAGCGCUGUAACUUCUGCAUCCUUUACCAUAGACACGUCGCCUGCCAACCCGAAACUUCUCCCCGUGGCUUUUGGUAGGCAGAGAUUUUCUCCCAGCAGAGAAUUCUUUUCUCCAAAUGAGUAGGUAUCAAGCCUCAAACCUCUAAUAUCUCCCAAGAAAUUAGCCUCUUGACUAGUCAUUCCUACUAAGGGCUCUGUCCCUUUCUUCCAUACUUGCCUCAAAAUUAUAGGCAACAACUUCUAAAUGGAAAUACUACAGCUGUUGCCAUUUUCAUAUUAUCCUCACCUAUCAUAGGAAACCUAACAAUUAGCAUUUCCAGCAGGAUUGAAACUGCUAACACAACUUCUCUCUGUCCUACACCAUUAAACUUGAUUAGAAAUCCCUUCACGAUUAACAUUCAUCUCGCUGAAUCGUGCUUGAAGGUUAAUAAUAUCCACCAUCUCCUGAGAGAGGGGGAGGGGAGCGUGUUUAUUAAAUGAAGAGCAGCAGGAGGGCGCCAGGAGAGGCAAUUUCUCUUCCGUCCACUAGAGGGUGGCUCCGCGGGGCCGGCGGGAGGACGGCGGAGACGCGGAGACAGCAUCCCCCAGCUCGCCUGCACUUUAGAUGGUAAGAAGCAGCAACGUUAGUAUUCAUCGUUCUCUAUGGGUCACCCUGUGUAGAUUUUAACUUCUCAUAAAGCCCCUUCACAAAUGCCAGAAGGCCUUGUUGGCUUAGCCAUAGCUUAGUGAGGAGAAAAAAACCAGAACAAAACAAAACAAAACAAAACACCUACCGUCUUUGCCUGCUUAAGACAACAUCCAGUCUGAUUCUUCUAAAUCAACACUGCGUGAGAUACAUGCAUAACCUGUAUUAACAGACGCUAAGUUUAAAACCUUCGUGUAUUUAUGCCGUGGCACCCCGUGUGUGCCGUGUAAGUGGAUACGGAGCGUGUCAGUUGUAGCGAAAAGCAUCUCCAUUAUGUAUGAUGCAUAAGGAAAUGUACCCAGCCUUCAGCACACCGGCCGUUUCUGCUUAUGGGGCUGAGUUAUCCAUGAAGUGCUUUGUAGUAAAAGCAUUGUAGUAAAUAUCCUACUUGAUGGACUUUUUUAGACCUACCCACCUAUACAGGUUUGUGUAAUUAAGGAAGAAGUAGACAUUUUAACAAUGACGGACAAACCUUAAAAAUUACCGUCAUCAAAAUAUGGUGUGUUCUAAGAAAGAGGAUGUGGGGAAUGAGUCUGUUUUUGGUUGACUCUACAGAGCAAAAUAUACUACCUUUUUCUGUAUGUAAUAUUGUUCAGUGUAGCAAACUCUUUUACUUGUUACAGUACAGUAAAUGGGGUGUUUAAUUUGGGAUUCAAUGUAGUCUAGUGUCAAGGUGCAGCAGUUUUAUUACAGAAAUACAAUUUUAUUGGAGGCUGAAGAUUUAAUUUCCACCUUACGUAGAGAGCCGUAAAUGGCAUGCCUAUUUUACAUUUUGCAUAGCAUUUGGUAUAUGUAAUUCCUGGUCUAAUUUUAGAGUUUGAAAAGGUGGAAGAGUCACAAUAUGUAGAUUCAAAUGCUUCAACAUUUCAGCCACAAAUGCCAUUUUAAAAUGAGCAAUUUUCUGUUUCUUAGUCAUGGAUUUGAAAUUAUUUCUUCCCUCCCCUGUUUGAAUUCUGCACCACCUCCUUUCCAGUCCUUCCUAAUUAGGUGAGCCACAAAGUCACCCAAGGAACACCCUUGGGUUGGAACAAAUGCUUUCUUUGUUAAAUCUACUAGUUGGUAUUCUACUUAAUAGUCAGACAUUCAGAGGAUGUGGAUAGUUUGCCUUCUAUUUUGCUUCAUAUUUGUCAGGGCCCCAUGUAAAUGUCUGUUCUGAUGGGUGCAUUUAUAAAUGUAUUGUGAGGACUGAAUUUGAAAGAAGAAAUUGAAUGAUAUUAUCUAUAAAGCUAUAUCAACAUCGAAAUCCAAAUUUGGGGAAUUGUGUCAUUCUUUUUCCUUCAAAUGUGUUUAUUACAAGAAACACACACACAGAAGCUGCCCUGGCAUCUGUUUUCCCUUCGCAGCAUUAGUUCUCUUCAUCACCAUUUCAUACCUUCUACCACCAGGUGGAGCCCUUUGUUUAUGGACAUCUGUCCAUUUCCUUUUUCUCCAAGAUGCUACCAGAUAUAUGGCUCCAGAGUUAAAAAUAGUGUUGCAAACACGAAAAUUUAAUACCCACAGAUAAAAAAGUAAAGCUUUUCCAUGCAUUAUUAUAAUAAACCUUGCCUUAAGAGUCCUCUUGCUACUAGAUUUAAUAGCUUUAUACCCUUUCCUAUUUACAAUUUCUGCACACCAAACAGAAAAUAAUACUGUUGUGUGUGCCGUAAACAGUGUUGCUGCAGGUCUGUUUUAUGUAGCACCGUCGCUUUUAUAAUCUCAAAUAUUUGUAAACUUCGGUCAAACAGUAAAAAAAAAAAAAAAAAUGCUAUGAGCCUCAGUUUUCUUCAGUAUAUUUCUUUAAAAUAUACACCUCAUUGAGAAGAAAAUGUUUUCCUUCAGACAAAAGAGAGUGGUGAUUCAGCCGUAGGCAAUACAGGGUAAUGUCAAGUUCUUCUCUCAGUCAGAUUCAUCUCUCUUCGAUUUGAGGUCCAGUGAAGGAGAUCCAUCAAAGAUCUUUUCAUGAACAAAAGACAGUAAGGUAAGAAAAAUUUAGAAGCCUGAUUUGCAUGUGCAAAUAACUGUGGAAUGAGCUCACCUAGACUAGCUUGCCAGUGACCUCAACCUUGAUCUGGAAAGAUCAUUUAUUCACAAGUGAAACAUUCACAUUCGCUAUGCUAACCCCGUUUUGGGUCUUUUCUCAAGGUAGAUUACUAACGGUGACAUUGGAGGGUCUAUGAAUAACAUCUGCAUUUACCAACACCAAGGAAUUCCAUGUUUAACUGAACUAUCAUUUCUGUUGCAUUUUUUAUUUUAACCAGGGCGUGCUCUCUUUGUAUCGUACGUAUCUCAAAUUUUGCUCGAGCAUCUGCAAAGCAGUGAGCAGAGGAAGAUCUGUGUGUAUGUUUUAUUGAAUCCGUCCCUGGCCUGAGCAAUCUGGCUUUUCUAUCGCUCUUCAAACUGGUUCUGCGAUCUGAGAGGGAAGGCUGUCUGCGAAAGAGCCCUCAUACAACCAAAUGCUGGAACCACCAUUUUGCUGUCCGUUUGCACACGAUGAAAUGGUGGCACGGAAAACAGUUAACACAUUGUGCCCAUGAGAGUUGUCUUUGAAAGUAGUCUACUUGCUGAUCCAAAUAUCGAGCUGCUUUUUAAAAUAUUGUUACCAAGGGACUAAAGAUUUUCAUUUUCUUUAAAUACAUAAAACCUGUGUGUGUGUGUGUGUGUGUGUGUGUGUGUGUGAAAAGCAUCGGCUGCGUACAUUCAAGCUAGGGAUAGAAAGAACUCGUCAAAAAUGCACACUCAGGCUGAGAGGGAAAGCAAACCUAAAUAAAAGCCCAGAUCCUGAGAAUCGCUUCUAACAGCUCACAAAAGCUGUACGGUGAAUUUGGCCUUGAUGCCUCCUUUCAUUUUAACAUUCACGGCGUGCAACUGAGAGUGAGGAAAUUUAAGAGAGUUGGUAUUUUUUUCUUGUUUUAAAAAAAAGUCCCAUAAAAAUUAAAUGCAGGCCCACAUUUGACUCUCACCUGGGAACCCCCACACUCUCAUUUUUUUAUGGGAGGAAAGAAAAAAAAAUAAAACAAGGACCCAUGGUCCCUUCCUUUUCCACUUCUGCUCUUAUUUUUAAUCAUUAAAAAUGCUGCCUUGGCUGCAUUUAAGUGUGGAAAUUCUCAUUUUUCUGCAGUGUUUCAGACUCACACAGACUCCUUGGGGAUGCGGUGAGGAGCUAACCAACUGCACAUGGGAAAUGAGGAUUUUCGUGGUUAGAAAAACUGCAGUGUUUGGUAAUUUUCCACAUGGAGUUGAAGUUAGUGAGUUGUCUGGGCUGCAGAGGAAACUGCUGUAUCGUUAAACCCAAGGCCGACGACAAAAACAGCCGCCCUACCAGCAAAAUAGAUACCCCUCCUCAUUUCAUAAAUCUUGUUUCCAACGAGAAUAAAGCCAGGAACGGACUCUUGCUCACAGCAAUGGCCUGAAACGUCCUGUAUCAGGGUAGUCCGCUCAAAGGGACCCAGGGCACCCCGCAACAAUCUCAGGGCCGGGGAGGUGAUUGUAACCGACAGCCAGGAUCUGGCCCGCUGCCCUAAUUCCCAGCAAGACCCUCCGCAUCACAGCAGAGAAUGGUAGACAAAUAAAAACCUACACCACCAGCCAUCAGCAAGAACCACAAACGCUGCUGUGACUGAUCAAGACUUCAGCUGUCAAGAGUUGGCCAACUUCUCCCUCAUCUUCUCCCCGUCACCUGCCCACCCCCCUUCCCUCACAAAAAGCUUGUUAAUGGUGGAGGGCCCAACAGGAAAUGUUUUUACACUUAGCGCCAAAUGCUAAUCUUUCACUGAAGCCUUCAGUAUAUUUAAAUGUUUAGGUUACCGAGGCAAAAGGUAUUCUAAUAGACAUUACUUAGGGAAUAUGGAGAUUUAACAAUUUGGCUAAGCGUGUAUACAUUUAUUGAAUGUCCUCUUUAAUUAAGGAUUACCUUAAAAAAGCACAUGACAAUUCAAAGAGAAAGGGAAUUAUCAUUUAAGCCAUAACCAGCAUGAAACUUUGUGUUCCUUCAACAGAUGUUUGGGAUGAAGGAGAGGGGUGUAAAUAAAUUCUUAGUAGAUUAUAUAACAUUUCUUAACACAUCUAGAUUCACAUAUUUCUUCAUUUUCACAGAGUCCGCAUUGUAUUGUCUUGAAAUACUUUUUUUGUAGAACUAGAUUUGACAUGCACUUGUGAUACAUCAACCACUACAGAUAUCAAGCCAUUCUAAUCCAAAUAUGGAUAAAAGAUUCUGGUGAAAACUCUGCAUUGUCUUAUUUUGUAAAAAAUGGUUUGAAUUUUUAAGUACAUUAAUUGAAUUAAAUUCAUGGUAUUAGGUAUUUACGAAAAUAAAGACAUAUAUUCAGCAUAUUUAUUAUUUUAGUGAGUACCGGUGGAUUUUUCAGCCCAUGCAUUGUUUUGCAGUUUUCACAGAAUCUCUUAGAGCAACUGAAAAUGAUAUCCUUUCAAGAAAAUUCCGACUUUAUGAAAUUUUUCCAAAGAUGUUUAGAUUUAAUACUUCAAAUACAUUUCCCUUUUGUGACAUUCUUCUCUAGGGCUACCCAUAGUUGUCCCAAACCCAUUUUGAGGUCUCAGCUAAAAAUGUCAAAACCAGAGGUCUUUCCAAGGAGCGGCUGGGAACACGGAGGCCCUUUCUGCACAGCCAGUCUGACAGGCCCCUGGGUCUCCAUCAGGCCGGCCUCAUGUGGAUACACACAGCAGUUCUGCAAACAGAGAAGCAUCUCAUGCCCUUUCCCGGAAACAACACUUCCAGAAAAGAUGCUGACCAAGAAGAAACAGCAGGGGUGAGAGAAGUGGCCAUAGCACUGGCAACAUCUUAACAAGCACUAAUUAAAUGUCGUGCUUUAAAAAUACGGCUUAAGAAAGCCAAACACAAUAACUUCUUACAGAUGGUUUUAGGAACUAACAAGACCUGUAGGAAAUGGUGCCGUCAUUAAGAUCAGUGUCCCCAAAGUCUCCUACAAUCAUUAGUGACGAGGUGCUGUGCACUUUAGGAAGAAAUGAUGAGAAUCUGUCUGAUGUGAAGCUGGUUAUUUUUUUUUCCCCCUCAUUUGUCUCUGAAGGGAAUUUUGCAUCUGUUUUAGUGCAUUACACAGUCAAUUAUUGAAACGGCCAGUCAAUUGAAUAUAAAAAGAGCAUUAGCAGCCUUGGAAUCUAUUUUUCCAAUGAGGUACAAAGCCACGCUGAAAAAGAAUUAUGAAUACUAAGAAGAAAGGAGCUGUGUUUUGUCAUAUCGAUACCUCCAAUUCCAAUACAUUGUGGGCAUUUGAUAACUGAUCAUUUAUUGAACAAACAUUGCUUCAGUGGUUAUGUUGUCAGACAUGGGCUAAGUUUUGGAGAUAAAGUGAUCAAGAAGACAGACAAGGUUCCUGCCUUUUGGAAUAUAGAGCCUAUGUGAAGAUAUUUAUUGAAGAGUUGUAUGAAUGGUUGGAUGGAUGGAUGGAUGGAUGGGUAGGCAAAUGAUUCUUUAAAAAAAAAUGUUUCUCAGAUACAGGUCUGAUAUUCCUUUAGGAUUACACUCUUGGGCUGAGUUCAUGCAAAGAAAUGUAGAGCCAGAUCCCCUGGUGAGAUGGCACAAGACAAACCUGGUGGCAGUAACUGGCCUCAGCAUCGGCCUGAAACUAGGUGCUGCCAUGGCAGUCGGAGCUUCAGAUGAUGGAGCAGCUAGAGUUGUCAGGUUGCCAGGAUCUUAGAACUUGUUCAAGAUUACCGUUAGAACUAGUGUUCUUGGUAGAAUGGAAAAAGUACUUCUGGUAAUAUGGGAAAAUGCAAACCCAAUACUUAAAAAUUUUCAAGUGUGACUUUAAAGUAUGACUAAAUAUUAAAGGAUAGGUAUAUAUCUGACUCUGUUGUUAAGAAGAG